CCGCAGUCAGUGAGGGAGGAGGAUCAGAAACAGGCUGGAGAAGACGGAGAAGGGGGAGGAGAAAACAGGCAGAGCACAGCGGAGGACGGGAAGCCAUCGGAGGAUGCCACAACCUCUGUGAUUGGAUAAAGAGUGCACUAGUGACCAGCACUAUGGACCUGCCGCAACCAGAUGUUUCCCACAAUCCUUAGUUCUCUGAUAAACGGCUGAGUCUGCCAAACUCUGAUCCUUCACCAUCACCUAUCUAAGACCUGCCAGGUAAGAAUAGUGCACACACCUGGUAAACAAUGAUAAAAAUGCCCUCAUAAACAAUAAACAAACUGAUUGCAAACUGUCUAGAGAGGAA
RNAcentral lists this long non-coding RNA (346 nucleotides) under Gouania willdenowi (blunt-snouted clingfish). RNAcentral describes it as "lncRNA (ENSGWIG00000026784.1)". Lineage: Eukaryota; Metazoa; Chordata; Actinopteri; Blenniiformes; Gobiesocidae. The record is from RNAcentral.